RNAcentral lists this ribosomal RNA (440 nucleotides) under uncultured bacterium. RNAcentral describes it as "partial 16S ribosomal RNA". It matches the Rfam family "Bacterial small subunit ribosomal RNA", at positions 339 to 795 of the family's 1533-position model. The record is from RNAcentral.
CUACGGGAGGCUCCAGUGAGGAAUAUUGCACAAUGGGGGGAACCCUGAUGCAGCAACGCCGCGUGGAGGAUGACGCAUUUCGGUGUGUAAACUCCUUUUAUAUGUCAAGAAAAUGACGGUAGCAUAUGAAUAAGCACCGGCUACACUCCGUGCCAGCAGCCGCGGUAAUACGGAGGGUGCAAGCGUUACUCGGAAUCACUGGGCGUAAAGGACGCGUAGGCGGGUUGGAAAGUCAGGUGUGAAAUCCUACAGCUUAACUGUAGAACUGCACUUGAAACUUCUAAUCUAGAGUAUGGGAGGGGGAGAUGGAAUUAGUGGUGUAGGGGUAACAUCCGUAGAUAUCACUAGGAAUACCUAAAGCGAAGGCGAUCUCCUGGAACAUUACUGACGCUAAGGCGUGAAAGCGUGGGGAGCAAACAGGAUUAGAUACCCUUGUAGUC